GGAACAUAGCUCAGUUGGUAGAGUGCUUGCCUCUUAUGCACAAGGCCCUGGGUUCAAUCCCCAGCACCA
Molecule: transfer RNA, 69 nt
Filed under: Marmota monax (woodchuck)
Lineage: Eukaryota; Metazoa; Chordata; Mammalia; Rodentia; Sciuridae
Description: tRNA.Lys
Rfam family: tRNA (bases 7-64)
About the family: Transfer RNA (tRNA) molecules are approximately 80 nucleotides in length. Their secondary structure includes four short double-helical elements and three loops (D, anti-codon, and T loops).
Source: RNAcentral